GACAAAGGAUGGGAGAACGCCCGCGCCCCGGGAUGCCGGCCGCGCGCAGCCUGGCGGCCGCCUGAGCUACUUCACCCUCCGCCGCUGAAUUUGGACAGGGGACUUUAGAAGCAGAAGGGGAGAAUGCCCUUGGCAUGGACUUGGCAUUCUUACAAAGAGUAUUUUGCUGUGGUUACCCAAAGGGACAUACUGGAACAAAAGAGGAAAAGUGAACAGAUGCUAUCUGGUAACUGUAGCUGGCAGAUUGGUUUGUGAGCAAAAUGAGACAUCCCUAUGAGGGCUUCAAGAAACACAGAGACCCUCUGAUAUGGAAAUGUACCCAAAAGAACUCUGAGAGAAUAUACUCACUGUCCUGCUGUGAUUAAACAAGACUGCUGUAUUUUACCUGAGCUUGGCAAAGCAAGGAUAUGAACAAUUGUGCAGGUGGGCUACUCAGGGCGAGUGAAGAGAUAAGGCAUCCAAUCAGGGAUUGGCCACCUGCAGCCCUGCCAAUAUGCCCCUCCACCAGAUUUCCGUAAUCCCAGCACGGGAGACUGCCAGCAAUGGG
This 547-nucleotide small RNA is filed under the name Pongo abelii (Sumatran orangutan). Its description in RNAcentral is "processed transcript". The record is from RNAcentral. Lineage: Eukaryota; Metazoa; Chordata; Mammalia; Primates; Hominidae.